CUUAGGAGGUGGUAGUGGAGAGUCGGGGGAGUAGGGGAAUCUCUUCCUCCCCGAGUGGUCCUUGAAGAGGAAGACCCCCACCCCAAAUGUGUGGCCAAGAAAACCAUUCAUGGAUUGAAGGAAUACAGUGUCUCACAAACAGUGGAACAUUGUUCCUGAGAGAUUUGGGUGAGAGUUGUCCCAAGAAUCCAGCAAACCAUGAGGUUGGCAGUUCUAAGUGUGCUGAAGCACUAAGGUUCUUGUUCAUUCUUGCUCAUGAAACCUUUCUGUAUACCGGAAGUGCAUAAUAGAGGAAAGGCUCAGUGGAAUGGAGGAAGAGAGAUAAUCAUAGAAACCCACAUUGAGCUACAUGACCCCUGGGAUGCAAUUUGAAGAUGAGUAUUCCAAAUUAUUUUUUCUCUGUCCAGAUGAUAGACUAAUAAGAGAAUCAAUCGAUCAAUCAAACUCAAUCAAUAAGAACCGAGCAAGGCUCAUCUGAGCAAUGAUGGAUGGUACUUGAAAGUGAAUUAGUGACUGAUUUGGAGAGAUUUCAGAGAGGUAGAGCUAACAGUGGCAAAUCAAGUUAACUUGUAUAUAUUGCUGACAGGAUGUGGGCUGGGCAAUAGCAAAUUCUUUCUAAUAGUCUCCAACUGCUUGUGAAGCUGACCUAGAGGCUGCUUCAAAUCUGAUAGAUUGAAACAAUUCCAUCUGAAAUCAUUUUUUCAGCCUUGUAAUUUUUGUAAUAAUAUGUAUCAGCCUAGAAACCUGCAUUUAAGCAUCUGAAUACAUCUGAACAGAGGCAAACAAUUCCCAACAAUGCCUCCACGACAAUAUGCUGUUGGUUGCUAAUUGGAAAAAAGCACAAGUAGUAAUUAGAAGGCAUUCUGUUGCUUGCUGGAAGGCUUCUCCCCUAAAUGGUUAAAAUAUUCAUCUUUGUAGGGUAACAACCUGAUUUAAAUUUUUGGAGUGUUGUGUUAGCAAUGCAUAUUUACUUUUUUUUUUUUUUUUUUUAGUCAUGUAGGAUGUGUGCACCAGCUUAAAAAUCAAGUCAUGCUCCAAAUGGUUACUAAUAUGGCCACUCCUGGGACCUCCUCUUUACUCCCUCUGGAGACGAAAUCCCUCUCGUGUCAAUUCACCUCAAUGCCUAUCUAAGCCACUGCCCUUCCUCCCAGUCCUUUUCAGGCCAUGGUGCCAGCAGGCUCUUUUCCCCAGCAAGAUGAUUGCCAAACAGAAGAGGAACAUUUUGUAAUGCAUCCUGAAAGAAUGUCAAACCCAGACUUUUAGAAAAUUCAGGAUCACAAAGAAUCUGACCAAGAUUGGGAAGAGAGAGCAACUGUGAAGAAGGAGGAUUCUUCAGAUAGAAAGACAG
Prionailurus viverrinus (fishing cat) is the source of this 1348-nucleotide long non-coding RNA. RefSeq lists it as uncharacterized. Lineage: Eukaryota; Metazoa; Chordata; Mammalia; Carnivora; Felidae. The record is from RefSeq and is a predicted model, not a curated record. The transcript has 5 exons.